UGCCAGCAGCCGCGGUAAUACGAAGGGGGCUAGCGUUGUUCGGAAUCACUGGGCGUAAAGCGCGCGUAGGCGGGUUCUUAAGUCAGGGGUGAAAUCCCGAGGCUCAACCUCGGAACUGCCUUUGAUACUGAGAGCCUAGAGUCCGGGAGAGGUGAGUGGAACUCCUAGUGUAGAGGUGAAAUUCGUAGAUAUUAGGAAGAACACCAGUGGCGAAGGCGGCUCACUGGCCCGGUACUGACGCUGAGGUGCGAAAGUGUGGGGAGCAAACAGGAUUAGAUA
RNAcentral lists this ribosomal RNA (279 nucleotides) under uncultured bacterium. Its description in RNAcentral is "partial 16S ribosomal RNA". It matches the Rfam family "Bacterial small subunit ribosomal RNA", at positions 506 to 784 of the family's 1533-position model. The record is from RNAcentral.